RNAcentral lists this transfer RNA (72 nucleotides) under Dipodomys ordii (Ord's kangaroo rat). It matches the Rfam family "tRNA". Rfam says of the family: Transfer RNA (tRNA) molecules are approximately 80 nucleotides in length. Lineage: Eukaryota; Metazoa; Chordata; Mammalia; Rodentia; Heteromyidae. The record is from Rfam by way of RNAcentral.
GGAGGCAUGGCUCAGUGGUAAAGCACCCACCUAGUAAGUGCAAGGUCCUGAGUUCAAGCCCCAGUACCACAA